Molecule: ribosomal RNA, 236 nt
Filed under: uncultured bacterium
Lineage: Bacteria
Description: partial 16S ribosomal RNA
Rfam family: Bacterial small subunit ribosomal RNA
Source: RNAcentral
GAUCCUGGCUCAGGAUGAACGCUGGCGGCGUGCCUAACACAUGCAAGUCGAACGGAAUUUACAUGAAGCCUAGCGAUUGUAAAUUUAGUGGCGGACGGGUGAGUAACGCGUGGGUAACCUGCCUUGUACUGGGGGACAACAGUUGGAAAUGACUGCUAAUACCGCAUAAGCGCACGGUGUCGCAUGACACAGUGUGAAAAACUCCGGUGGUAUGAGAUGGACCCGCGUCUGAUUAG